RNAcentral lists this transfer RNA (68 nucleotides) under Danio rerio (zebrafish). It matches the Rfam family "tRNA". Rfam says of the family: Transfer RNA (tRNA) molecules are approximately 80 nucleotides in length. Their secondary structure includes four short double-helical elements and three loops (D, anti-codon, and T loops). Further hydrogen bonds mediate the characteristic L-shaped molecular structure. tRNAs have two regions of fundamental functional importance: the anti-codon, which is responsible for specific mRNA codon recognition, and the 3' end, to which the tRNAs corresponding amino acid is attached (by aminoacyl-tRNA synthetases). tRNAs cope with the degeneracy of the genetic code in two manners: having more than one tRNA (with a specific anti-codon) for a particular amino acid; and 'wobble' base-pairing, i.e. permitting non-standard base-pairing at the 3rd anti-codon position. Lineage: Eukaryota; Metazoa; Chordata; Actinopteri; Cypriniformes; Danionidae. The record is from Rfam by way of RNAcentral.
GGGGGUAUAGUUUAGUGGUAGAGCAUUUGAUUGCAGAUCAAGAGGUCCCUGGAUCAACACCACCCCCA